UACGUAGGGGGCGAGCGUUGUCCGGAUUUAUUGGGCGUAAAGAGCUCGUAGGCGGACCUGCAAGUCGGGGGUGAAAGCCCGAGGCUCAACCUCGGAACUGCCUUCGAUACUGCGGGUCUCGAGUCCGGGAGAGGUGAGUGGAAUUCCUAGUGUAGAGGUGAAAUUCGUAGAUAUUAGGAAGAACACCAGUGGCGAAGGCGGCUCACUGGCCCGGUACUGACGCUGAGGCGCGAAAGCGUGGGGAGCAAACAGG
This 253-nucleotide ribosomal RNA is filed under the name uncultured bacterium. RNAcentral's name for it is "partial 16S ribosomal RNA". It matches the Rfam family "Bacterial small subunit ribosomal RNA", at positions 524 to 776 of the family's 1533-position model. The record is from RNAcentral.